GUACACGCUGUGACUAGCAUAUCAAUAAGCGGAGGAAAAGAAACUAACAAGGAUUCCCUUAGUAACGGCGAGUGAAGCGGGAAGAGCUCAAAUUUGAAAUCUUCAAGGUUUUACCUUGACGAAUUGUAGUUUAAAGAAGUGUUUUCUGUUGAAGUUUUGGUAAAAGUUCUUUGGAAUAGGACAUCAUAGAGGGUGAGAAUCCCGUAUUUGACCAUUAUUUUCAGCUGUGUGAUACACUUUCAAAGAGUCGGAUUGUUUGGGAAUGCAGUCCAAAAUGGGUGGUAAAUUUCAUCUAAAGCUAAAUAUUGGCGAGAGACCGAUAGCGAACAAGUACCGUGAGGGAAAGAUGAAAAGAACUUUGAAAAGAGAGUUAAACAGUACGUGAAAUUGUCAAAAGGGAAGCGUUUGACACCAGUGUUGUUUUCUCGAAAAUCAAUUAAAAAGAGUUGGAUUUUGUGUUGUAUUGACCUUAACAGCUUUCUGCACUCUUUUCCUGCUUUUUUUAAUGCACUUUUCGUUUAACAAGUCAACAUCAGUUUCUUUUGUUGUAAAAGGGUCAUUGGAAGGUGGCUUUCUUUUCGGAGAAAGUGUUUAUAGCCUUUGAUCUCCUGCAAUCGGAGAGACUGAGGUCUGCAGCGUAGAUCCUUCGGGGUUAGAUACAUUUGUGCUAAGUUAUAACUUUUCAUAGACAACUUGUUGACUAUAGUUUAGUCAUUGUAGCUUACUCGCUUAUGCUAUUUUACCUACGCUUAGGAUGUUGAACUACUGAGACAUAGA
This 777-nucleotide ribosomal RNA is filed under the name uncultured Neocallimastigales. RNAcentral describes it as "partial large subunit ribosomal RNA". It matches the Rfam family "Eukaryotic large subunit ribosomal RNA", at positions 22 to 637 of the family's 3401-position model. The record is from RNAcentral. Lineage: Eukaryota; Fungi; Neocallimastigomycota; Neocallimastigomycetes; Neocallimastigales.